GACGAACGCUGGCGGCGUGCUUAACACAUGCAAGUCGAACGGAAAGGCCCUGCUUUUGUGGGGUGCUCGAGUGGCGAACGGGUGAGUAACACGUGAGUAACCUGCCCUUGACUUUGGGAUAACUUCAGGAAACUGGGGCUAAUACCGGAUAGGAGCUCCUGCUGCAUGGUGGGGGUUGGAAAGUUUCGGCGGUUGGGGAUGGACUCGCGGCUUAUCAGCUUGUUGGUGGGGUAGUGGUUUACCAAGGCUUUGACGGGUAGCCGGCCUGAGAGGGUUACCGGGCACAUUGGGACUGAGAUACGGCGCAGACUCCUACGGGAGGCAGCAGGGGGGAGUAUUGCGCAAUGGGCGGAAGCCUGAUGCAGCGACGCCGCGUGCGGGAUGACGGCCUUCGGGUUGUGAACAGCUUUCGCCUGUGACGAAGCGUGAGUGACGGUAAUGGGUAAAGAAGCACCGGCUAACUACGUG
This 468-nucleotide ribosomal RNA is filed under the name uncultured bacterium. Its description in RNAcentral is "partial 16S ribosomal RNA". It matches the Rfam family "Bacterial small subunit ribosomal RNA", at positions 28 to 507 of the family's 1533-position model. The record is from RNAcentral.